GUGGUCACAAAAUUCAAUGUUCUGGGAGAAUUGGAAGCAGCUCCAUUUUUGGGAGAGCCCCUUACACAGCUCAAGGUCUGGGCCCCAGGGCCUGACGGUGAGUAUGCCCACAAGGCCCACUCAUAAGUCCACUUAUAUGUUCCACCCACCCAUGAGUUCGCUCACAGGGAGUGGAGUGUGUAGGGGAUGUGUUAUGUAUUAUUGUAGAGCAGGGGUUCUCAACGUUAGUCCUCAGGACCCCCUACCAGUCCAGGGUUUAGGGAUUACCUGGGUGUGUCUAAGGUGUUU
Molecule: non-coding RNA, 288 nt
Organism: Pelobates cultripes (western spadefoot toad)
Lineage: Eukaryota; Metazoa; Chordata; Amphibia; Anura; Pelobatidae
Source: the annotation of a GenBank genome assembly